UACGGAGGGUGCAAGCGUUAUCCGGAUUUACUGGGCGUAAAGCGCGUGUAGGCGGAUGGACAAGCCUGAGGUGAAAGGUUGGGGCUCAACCCCAUACAGUGCCUUGGGGACUGUUCGUCUGGAGGCCGGCAGAGGAGAGUGGAAUUCCUGGUGUAGCGGUGGAAUGCGUAGAGAUCAGGAAGAACACCCAUGGCGAAGGCAGCUCUCUGGGCCGGUACUGACGCUGAGACGCGAAAGCGCGGGGAGCGAACGGG
Molecule: ribosomal RNA, 254 nt
Filed under: uncultured bacterium
Lineage: Bacteria
Description: partial 16S ribosomal RNA
Rfam family: Bacterial small subunit ribosomal RNA
Source: RNAcentral